GACGAACGCUGGCGGCGUGCUUAACACAUGCAAGUCGAACGGAAAGGCCCUGCUUUUGUGGGGUGCUCGAGUGGCGAACGGGUGAGUAACACGUGAGUAACCUGCCCUUGACUUUGGGAUAACUUCAGGAAACUGGGGCUAAUACCGGAUAGGAGCUCCUGCUGCAUGGUGGGGGUUGGAAAGUUUCGGCGGUUGGGGAUGGACUCGCGGCUUAUCAGCUUGUUGGUGGGGUAGUGGCUUACCAAGGCUUUGACGGGUAGCCGGCCUGAGAGGGUGACCGGCCACAUUGGGACUGAGAUACGGCCCAGACUCCUACGGGAGGCAGCAGUGGGGAAUAUUGCACAAUGGGCGGAAGCCUGAUGCAGCAACGCCGCGUGCGGGAUGACGGCCUUCGGGUUGUAAACCGCUUUCGCCUGUGACGAAGCGUGAGUGACGGUAAUGGGUAAAGAAGCACCGGCUAACUACGUGCCAGCAGCCGCGGUGAUACGUAGGGUGCGAGCGUUGUCCGGAUUUAUUGGGCGUAAAGGGCUCGUAGGUGGUUGAUCGCGUCGGAAGUGUAAUCUUGGGGCUUAACCCUGAGCGUGCUUUCGAUACGGGUUGACUUGAGGAAGGUAGGGGAGAAUGGAAUUCCUGGUGGAGCGGUGGAAUGCGCAGAUAUCAGGAGGAACACCAGUGGCGAAGGCGGUUCUCUGGGCCUUUCCUGACGCUGAGGAGCGAAAGCGUGGGGAGCGAACAGGCUUAGAUACCCUGGUAGUCCACGCUGUAAACGGUGGGUACUAGGUGUGGGGUCCAUUCCACGGGUUCCGUGCCGUAGCUAACGCUUUAAGUACCCCGCCUGGGGAGUACGGCCGCAAGGCUAAAACUCAAAGGAAUUGACGGGGCCCCGCACAAGCGGCGGAGCAUGCGGAUUAAUUCGAUGCAACGCGUAGAACCUUACCUGGGUUUGACAUGGAUCGGGAGUGCUCAGAGAUGGGUGUGCCUCUUUUGGGGUCGGUUCACAGGUGGUGCAUGGCUGUCGUCAGCUCGUGUCGUGAGAUGUUGGGUUAAGUCCCGCAACGAGCGCAACCCUUGUUCACUGUUGCCAGCACGUUAUGGUGGGGACUCAGUGGAGACCGCCGGGGUCAACUCGGAGGAAGGUGGGGAAGACGUCAAGUCAUCAUGCCCCUUAUGUCCAGGGCUUCACGCAUGCUACAAUGGCUGGUACAGAGAGUGGCGAGCCUGUGAGGGUGAGCGAAUCUCGGAAAGCCGGUCUCAGUUCGGAUUGGGGUCUGCAACUCGACCUCAUGAAGUCGGAGUCGCUAGUAAUCGCAGAUCAGCAACGCUGCGGUGAAUACGUUCCCGGGGCU
RNAcentral lists this ribosomal RNA (1346 nucleotides) under uncultured bacterium. RNAcentral's name for it is "partial 16S ribosomal RNA". It matches the Rfam family "Bacterial small subunit ribosomal RNA", at positions 28 to 1381 of the family's 1533-position model. The record is from RNAcentral.